RNAcentral lists this ribosomal RNA (1479 nucleotides) under uncultured Bordetella sp. RNAcentral describes it as "partial 16S-23S ribosomal RNA intergenic spacer". It matches the Rfam family "Bacterial small subunit ribosomal RNA". The record is from RNAcentral. Lineage: Bacteria; Pseudomonadati; Pseudomonadota; Betaproteobacteria; Burkholderiales; Alcaligenaceae.
GGUUCGAUCAUGGCUCAGGAUUGAACGCUGGCGGGAUGCUUUACACAUGCAAGUCGAACGGCAGCACGGACUUCGGUCUGGUGGCGAGUGGCGAACGGGUGAGUAAUGUAUCGGAACGUGCCUAGUAGCGGGGGAUAAUCCACGUGAAAGCGUAGCUAAUACCGCAUACGCCCUUCGGGGGAAAGCGGGGGACCUUCGGGCCUCGCACUAUUAGAGCGGCUGAUAUCGGAUUAGCUAGUUGGUGGGGUAACGGCUCACCAUAUGACGAUCCGUAGCUGGUUUGAGAGGACGACCAGCCACACUGGGACUGAGACACGGCCCAGACUCCUACGGAGGCAGCAGUGGGGAAUUUUGACAAUGGGGAAACCCUGAUCCAGCCAUCCCGCGUGUGCGAUGAAGGCCUUCUUGCCAAAGCACUUUUGGCAGGAAGAACGGCACGGGAUAAUACCCCGUGCAACUGACGGUACCUGCAGAAUAAGCACCGGCUAACUACGUGCAAGCAGCCGCGGUAAUACGUAGGGUGCAAGCGUUAAUCGGAAUUACCGGGCGUAAAGCGCGCAGGCGGUUCGGAAAGAAAGAUGUGAAAUCCCAGAGCUUAACCUUGGAACUGCAUUUUUAACUACCGAGCUAGAGUGUGUCAGAGGGAGGUGGAAUUCCGCGUGUAGCAGUGAAAUGCGUAGAUAUGCGGAGGAACACCGGGGAUGGCGAAGGCAGCCUCCUGGGAUAACACUGACGCUCAUGCACGAAAGCGUGGGGAGCAAACAGGAUUAGAUACCCUGGAGAAUCCACGCCCCAAACGAUGUCAACUAGCCGUUGGGGCCUCGCCUUGGUGGCAGCCAACAUGGUGAAGUUGACCGCCUGGGGAGUACGGUCGCAAGAUUAAAACUCAAAGGAAUUGACGGGGACCCGCACAAGCGGUGGAUGAUGUAGAUUAAUUCGAUGCAAACGCAAAACCUUACCUACCCUUGACAUGUCUGGAAUCCCGAAGAGAUUUGGGAGUGCUCUCGCAAGUGAGAACCGGAACACAGGUGCUGUACGGCUGUCGUCAGCUCGUGUCGAGAUGCUGGGUUGUCUCUCCCGCAACGAGCGCAACCCUUGUCAUUAGUUGCUACGAAAGGGCACUCUAAUGAGACUGCCGGUGACAAACCGGAGAAGGUGGGGAUGACGUCAAGUCCUCAUGGCCCUUGCGGCAGGGCUUCACACGUCAUACAAUGGUCGGGACAGAGGGUCGCCAACCCGCGAGGGGGAGCAAUCCCAGAAACCCGAUCGUAGUCCGGAUCGCAGUCUGCAACUCGACUGCGUGAAGUCGGAAUCGCUGCAAUCGCGGAUCAGCAUGUCGCGGUGAAUACGUUCCCGGGUCUUGUACACACCGCCCGUCACACCAUGGGGAGUGGUUUUACCAGAAGUAGUUAGCCUAACCGUAAGGAGGGCGAUUACCACGGUAGGAUUCAUGACUGGGGUGAAGUCGUACUAAGGUAA